RNAcentral lists this ribosomal RNA (253 nucleotides) under uncultured bacterium. RNAcentral's name for it is "partial 16S ribosomal RNA". It matches the Rfam family "Bacterial small subunit ribosomal RNA", at positions 524 to 776 of the family's 1533-position model. The record is from RNAcentral.
UACGGGGGGGGCAAGCGUUGUUCGGAAUUACUGGGCGUAAAGGGCGCGUAGGCGGCCUUCUAAGUCGGACGUGAAAUCCCUCGGCUCAACCGAGGAACUGCGUCUGAUACUGGAAGGCUUGAAUCCGGGAGAGGGAUGUGGAAUUCCAGGUGUAGCGGUGAAAUGCGUAGAUAUCUGGAGGAACACCGGUGGCGAAAGCGGCUCACUGGAUCGAAACUGACACUGAGGUGCGAAAGCUAGGGUAGCAAACGGG